GACGAACGCUGGCGGCGUGCUUAACACAUGCAAGUCGAGCGGAAAGGCCCUUUCGGGGGUACUCGAGCGGCGAACGGGUGAGUAACACGUGAGUAAUCUGCCCUUCACUUGGGGAUAACUACCGGAAACGGUGGCUAAUACCCGCUAUGACAAAUCACUGCAUGGUGUGUUGGUGGAAAGUUUUUUCGGUGGAGGAGGUGCUCGCGGCCUAGCAGCUUGUUGGUGGGGUAAUGGCCUACCAAGGCUUCGACGGGUAGGCGGGCUGAGAGGGUGACCGGCCACACUGGGACUGAGACACGGCCCAGACUCCUACGGGAGGCAGCAGUGGGGAAUAUUGGACAAUGGGCGAAAGCCUGAUCCAGCAACGCCGCGUGAGGGAUGACGGCCUUCGGGUUGUAAACCUCUUUCAGCGGGGACGAAGCGCCGGUAAUGGUGGUGACGGUACCCGCAGAAGAAGCACCGGCCAACUACGUGCCAGCAGCCGCGGUAA
This 490-nucleotide ribosomal RNA is filed under the name uncultured bacterium. RNAcentral describes it as "partial 16S ribosomal RNA". It matches the Rfam family "Bacterial small subunit ribosomal RNA", at positions 28 to 523 of the family's 1533-position model. The record is from RNAcentral.